ACGCUCGACACCUACGGGGGCAGCAGUGGGGAAUAUUGCACAAUGGGGGAAACCCUGAUGCAGCGACGCCGCGUGAGCGAAGAAGUAUCUCGGUAUGUAAAGCUCUAUCAGCAGGGAAGAAGAUGACGGUACCUGACUAAGAAGCACCGGCUAAAUACGUGCCANCAGCCGCGGUAAUCUGAGCGGGCUGGCAAGGC
Molecule: ribosomal RNA, 197 nt
Filed under: uncultured bacterium
Lineage: Bacteria
Description: partial 16S ribosomal RNA
Rfam family: Bacterial small subunit ribosomal RNA
Source: RNAcentral